Molecule: long non-coding RNA, 209 nt
Filed under: Elaeis guineensis (African oil palm)
Lineage: Eukaryota; Viridiplantae; Streptophyta; Magnoliopsida; Arecales; Arecaceae
Description: long non-coding RNA (EGUI_LNC009413)
Source: RNAcentral
UCCACGGGAUGGAGACUUAUGGGCCAGCUGUGCAUUAUCUUAGGUGGAGGUCAAUCAUGAGUCGACCACGACUUCGUAUAUCUCAGAGUUGGGUCUGACUAUUUUAGAUCUUGGGCUUCUUCAUAUUUUCAGUCUGUACAAAUUAUUUUUUAAUAAAAAAUAAAAAAUAAUCGUAAAAUAUUCAUCAAUAUGAAAUAUCAUGUUGGCUA